GACGAACGCUGGCGGCGUGCUUAACACAUGCAAGUCGAACGGAAAGGCCCUGCUUUUGUGGGGUGCUCGAGUGGCGAACGGGUGAGUAACACGUGAGUAACCUGCCCUUGACUUUGGGAUAACUUCAGGAAACUGGGGCUAAUCCCGGAUAGGAGCUCCUGCUGCAUGGUGGGGGUUGGAACGUUUCGGCGGUUGGGGAUGGACUCGCGGCUUAUCAGCUUGUUGGUGGGGUAGUGGCUUACCAAGGCUUUGACGGGUAGCCGGCCUGAGAGGGUGACCGGCCACAUGGGGACUGAGAUACGGCCCAGACUCCUACGGGAGGCAGCAGUGGGGAAUAUUGCACAAUGGGCGGAAGCCUGAUGCAGAAACGCCGCGUGCGGGAUGACGGCCUUCGGGUUGUAAACCGCUUUCGCCUGUGACGAAGCGUGAGUGACGGUAAUGGGUAAAGAAGCACCGGCUAACUACGUG
RNAcentral lists this ribosomal RNA (468 nucleotides) under uncultured bacterium. Its description in RNAcentral is "partial 16S ribosomal RNA". It matches the Rfam family "Bacterial small subunit ribosomal RNA", at positions 28 to 507 of the family's 1533-position model. The record is from RNAcentral.